Long non-coding RNA from Vicia villosa (hairy vetch), 1261 nucleotides. RefSeq lists it as uncharacterized. The record is from RefSeq and is a predicted model, not a curated record. Lineage: Eukaryota; Viridiplantae; Streptophyta; Magnoliopsida; Fabales; Fabaceae. The transcript is spliced from 4 exons.
GGAUUAGGUUUUACCUGCAUUGUGACUGUUGGUCUUCUCCUUCUCUCAAAUGUGCUCACGGCGGAGAUGAACUCUCCUCCAAUCUCCGACUCGAUUUCACUCUCUCCGCCACCGAAAUGAACACCUAAUCGCGACCUCUCCACUCACGAAUAAGUCACAGCGGCGGCCGGAGGCAAGAUUCCCCGAUUCAUCUCGCCGCGAACACCAUGACUCAACCCUCUAUCCAUUCGGAUGAACAGCGUGACUCGAGCUUCAUCUCUGGAGAGCCUUUUCAAUCUCCACCGCAAGCUCUCUCUCACGAUCUCCUUCUUCGUUGAGAUUUCGUUCCUGUUUUGAAGCGCUAUCGUGAGUUAGUGACGAUGACCGUUGUUGAUACUUGAUUUCUGCAGGUGAUUAGAGAUGAUGAUGAUUGAAGGGAGACGACGCCUGUGCGAUUGAAGCGUGAAGAUGAAAAGGACUUGGAGAUUGAUACGUUGAUGAAGAAGGUGAUGGAGGCUUCGGUUAGAGGCUGCGUUAAGAGCUGAACGAUGGCUCUGGGGUGAUGAAGAUUGAGUGUGAAUUGAGAGAGAAAAUUCAGAGAAUUUGUUACAUUUUUCCGGGCAGAUGGUUAAAAGCUUGCUUGAUUAUCGGGUGGACUUUGGACGGUGAAGCUGUUUGUUAUUUGUUGUGGCAGGUAUGAUGCUGUUUGGAUGACUUGAACGUGUUCUCGAUCCGACGUACACUUAACCAAAGGUGCAAGAUGUUUUUUAACUGAACUGAACACUGUUACGACUUGGCUUUUGGAUGUAGGCUUGCAAUGCGCUGUAGAGUCGGUUGGCACAUGAAUGGUACAUAUCUGGAUAUAGCUUUGAUGCAAUAAAACUGAACCAUGUACUAAGUACUGGGGCUGGUGGCUUCCGGUUCGGGUGUUCUUGUGUGAGACCCGGUUUCUCUUGAUGUGCAUCAAGACAUCUUUGGAUCAUACAUCCAAAAGGAGGACGCGUUGUAUUGCUUGACAUGAUGAUAGAUGAAGGUGAAGAAGCUUUAGACACCAUAGGCUCACGUGCAUUUUUGUGUAAUUUCUAUGUAAUAGUAUAGUGAUGCUGGUGGUGUAAUAGUAUAAUGAUAUGUAAUAUGGUUUGGCCAUGAGAUGUAUCUUGGAAUUGUAAUGAAUCGGUCCUUAGAAUAUGUAUAUUUUUGUGGAAAUGGAUUCUUGCACAUGGAAGUGUAUAGUGAAGGAAUGCGUUUAGAAAUGUGGAAAUGGAUUCUUGCACAUGGAAUG